RNAcentral lists this long non-coding RNA (205 nucleotides) under Hordeum vulgare. Its description in RNAcentral is "long non-coding RNA (HVUL_LNC015900)". Lineage: Eukaryota; Viridiplantae; Streptophyta; Magnoliopsida; Poales; Poaceae. The record is from RNAcentral.
AGCAUGAGUCCUAGUAUGAUUGGUAUUCUAAUCCAAGUAGGAUUAGGAAUACUAAAUCAGCUCGGUUAGUUGCCAGGCUAUGUUCAGCAUAUAUAUAUAUAUAUAUAUAUAUAUAUAUAUGCGUGUACCCCGUCCUUGUAACAUAACCAGAUCAAGAAAGAUCAAAAGUAAUAGAAAGUUUAUCAGGCUCGAGACAAGCCUGUAG